Molecule: ribosomal RNA, 804 nt
Filed under: Mycolicibacterium llatzerense
Lineage: Bacteria; Bacillati; Actinomycetota; Actinomycetes; Mycobacteriales; Mycobacteriaceae
Description: bacterial SSU rRNA
Rfam family: Bacterial small subunit ribosomal RNA
Source: RNAcentral
GCUGGCGGCGUGCUUAACACAUGCAAGUCGAACGGAAAGGCCCUUCGGGGUACUCGAGUGGCGAACGGGUGAGUAACACGUGGGUGAUCUGCCCUGCACUUUGGGAUAAGCCUGGGAAACUGGGUCUAAUACCGAAUAUGACCACGCUCUUCAUGGGGUGUGGUGGAAAGCUUUUGCGGUGUGGGAUGGGCCCGCGGCCUAUCAGCUUGUUGGUGGGGUAAUGGCCUACCAAGGCGACGACGGGUAGCCGGCCUGAGAGGGUGACCGGCCACACUGGGACUGAGAUACGGCCCAGACUCCUACGGGAGGCAGCAGUGGGGAAUAUUGCACAAUGGGCGCAAGCCUGAUGCAGCGACGCCGCGUGAGGGAUGACGGCCUUCGGGUUGUAAACCUCUUUCACCAGGGACGAAGCGUAAGUGACGGUACCUGGAGAAGAAGCACCGGCCAACUACGUGCCAGCAGCCGCGGUAAUACGUAGGGUGCGAGCGUUGUCCGGAAUUACUGGGCGUAAAGAGCUCGUAGGUGGUUUGUCGCGUUGUUCGUGAAAACUCACAGCUUAACUGUGGGCGUGCGGGCGAUACGGGCAGACUAGAGUACUGCAGGGGAGACUGGAAUUCCUGGUGUAGCGGUGGAAUGCGCAGAUAUCAGGAGGAACACCGGUGGCGAAGGCGGGUCUCUGGGCAGUAACUGACGCUGAGGAGCGAAAGCGUGGGGAGCGAACAGGAUUAGAUACCCUGGUAGUCCACGCCGUAAACGGUGGGUACUAGGUGUGGGUUUCCUUCCUUGGGAUCCGUGCCGUAGCUA